CGGUUGGGAGGUGAGAAUACAUUUAUUAGGCAGCCCUCUGGAACAUCCUCAGCACUCCAUACUGGCAGAGUCCCCUGAAGACGGCCCAAGAAAGGAAGUUGAAAGACAACUGAGAAUGGACACAGCAACAAUGGCAAGCGGGCAGCUGCCUUUCACGGAAAGAAGCCAUGAGCCUUGGACCAACUCUCUGAAGCCCCAGAAAUGCCAUCCCAU
RNAcentral lists this long non-coding RNA (213 nucleotides) under Fukomys damarensis (Damara mole-rat). RNAcentral describes it as "lncRNA (ENSFDAG00000027727.1)". Lineage: Eukaryota; Metazoa; Chordata; Mammalia; Rodentia; Bathyergidae. The record is from RNAcentral.